Molecule: non-coding RNA, 309 nt
Filed under: Sus scrofa (pig)
Lineage: Eukaryota; Metazoa; Chordata; Mammalia; Artiodactyla; Suidae
Description: Eukaryotic large subunit ribosomal RNA
Rfam family: Eukaryotic large subunit ribosomal RNA
Source: Rfam by way of RNAcentral
UUUCCCUCAGAAUAGCUGGCGCUCUCACAGGAAACAGUUUUAUCUGGUAAAGCGAAUGAUUAGAGGUCUUGGGGCUGAAACGAUCUCAACCUAUUCUCAAACUUUAAAUGGGUAAGAAGCCCGGCUCGUUGGCGUGGGGCCGGGCGUGGAAUGGGGGUGCCUAGUGGGCCACUUUUGGUAAGCAGAACUGGCACUGCAGGAUGAAUGGAAUGCCAGGUUAAGGCGCCCGAUGCAAGAUGGAUUAUCUAGAAGAUUCAUAGUGCUCUUCUAUGACUGUUUCCCUUUUAUUGCUGAUGUUUUGGUAAUCAA